Molecule: ribosomal RNA, 450 nt
Filed under: uncultured bacterium
Lineage: Bacteria
Description: partial 16S ribosomal RNA
Rfam family: Bacterial small subunit ribosomal RNA
Source: RNAcentral
GUAGGGAAUCUUCGGCAAUGGACGAAAGUCUGACCGAGCAACGCCGCGUGAGUGAAGAAGGUUUUCGGAUCGUAAAACUCUGUUGUUAGAGAAGAAUGUUGAUUAGAGUGGAAAAUUAAUCAAGUGACGGUAUCUAACCAGAAAGGGACGGCUAACUACGUGCCAGCAGCCGCGGUAAUACGUAGGUCCCGAGCGUUGUCCGGAUUUAUUGGGCGUAAAGCGAGCGCAGGUGGUUUAAUAAGUCUGAUGUAAAAGGCAGUGGCUCAACCAUUGUGUGCAUUGGAAACUGUUAGACUUGAGUGCAGUAGAGGAGAGUGGAAUUCCAUGUGUAGCGGUGAAAUGCGUAGAUAUAUGGAGGAACACCGGUGGCGAAAGCGGCUCACUGGCUCGAUACUGACGCUGAGGUGCGAAAGCGUGGGGAGCAAACAGGAUUAGAAACCCGGGUAGUCC